CUUCUCCCAUCAAUGUCGAAUCUAGAGCUCCGCCCUCUCGGCUCCACCGGCCUCCGCCUCAGUUGCGUCGGCUUCGGCGCCUCCCCCCUCGGCAACGUCUUCGGCCCCGUCUCCCACACCACCGCCCUCGCUUCCGUCCGCCGCGCCCUCGAUCUCGGCAUCAACUUCUUCGACACCUCCCCGUUCUACGGCGGCACCGUCUCCGAAUCCGUCCUCGGCCGCUGCCUCGAGGAACUCGCCGUCCCCCGCGACCAGAUCAUCAUCUCCACCAAGUGCGGACGCUACGCUGACGGCUUCGACUUCAGCGGCGAUCGCGUCACCAAGAGCAUCGAUGAGAGCCUCGCCAGGUUACGGGUUGACUACGUCGACAUCCUUCAUUGCCACGACAUCGAGUUCGG
This 398-nucleotide unclassified non-coding RNA is filed under the name Hevea brasiliensis (rubber tree). Lineage: Eukaryota; Viridiplantae; Streptophyta; Magnoliopsida; Malpighiales; Euphorbiaceae. The record is from RNAcentral.